CCGAGACUAGUAAGGUGAAGAUAUACACUGAAGAUACAGCGAUUUACUUCUGCCUUGAAUAGCUGAAUAUUCCCGGUCCUAUACAAGUCACGGUGUUCCCGUUCCUUCGGUCCACUGCAGGCCUUCAACAGAUGAUCUGGAGGUUGUGGUGGUCUCCGCAAAGUAGGAGGAGAAGGGAGAGUAGUCUGGACCCUCCCAGCAUGCGUAUGCACCAACCCCAUCUGAUGUGGGCAAAAUGGUGGAGGUGGAGGCCGAAGAGGCCAGUCCCUCGCAGCAGCUGCAUCCCCUCCUCACUCCUGAUGAGGAAGAAGAGGAGGAGGAGGAUGUUACCAGCCCCCGCCAGGAGGCACUCAUUAAAUUAAAAAACAAAAUAAUACAGCUGCAGCAAGAGGACAAAAAAGCCAUGCUGGAGAUCAGGGAGCAGCAAAGGAAGAUACGGGAGCAUCUGGAUAAAAAGGUGCAGCAGUUGGAGGAGCC
Molecule: long non-coding RNA, 477 nt
Organism: Bufo gargarizans (Asiatic toad)
Lineage: Eukaryota; Metazoa; Chordata; Amphibia; Anura; Bufonidae
Exons: 3
Source: RefSeq, a predicted model, not a curated record